AGUGAACGCUGGCGGUAGGCCUAACACAUGCAAGUCGAACGGCAGCACAGGAGAGCUUGCUCUCUGGGUGGCGAGUGGCGGACGGGUGAGGAAUACAUCGGAAUCUGCUCAGUCGCGGGGGAUAACGCAGGGAAACUUACGCUAAUACCGCAUACGACCUUCGGGUGAAAGGGGGGGAUUGCAAGACCUCUCGCGAUUGGAUGAGCCGAUGUCGGAUUAGCUAGUUGGCGGGGUAAUGGCCCACCAAGGCGACGAUCCGUAGCUGGUCUGAGAGGAUGAUCAGCCACACUGGAACUGAGACACGGUCCAGACUCCUACGGGAGGCAGCAGUGGGGAAUAUUGGACAAUGGGCGCAAGCCUGAUCCAGCCAUACCGCGUGGGUGAAGAAGGCCUUCGGGUUGUAAAGCCCUUUUGUUGGGAAAGAAAUCUUUCAGGCUAAUACCCUGGGAGGAUGACGGUACCCAAAGAAUAAGCACCGGCUAACUUCGUG
This 490-nucleotide ribosomal RNA is filed under the name uncultured bacterium. Its description in RNAcentral is "partial 16S ribosomal RNA". It matches the Rfam family "Bacterial small subunit ribosomal RNA", at positions 29 to 507 of the family's 1533-position model. The record is from RNAcentral.